This 292-nucleotide ribosomal RNA is filed under the name uncultured bacterium. RNAcentral describes it as "partial 16S ribosomal RNA". It matches the Rfam family "Bacterial small subunit ribosomal RNA", at positions 505 to 796 of the family's 1533-position model. The record is from RNAcentral.
GUGUCAGCAGCCGCGGUAAGACAGAGGGUGCAAACGUUGCUCGGAAUUACUGGGCGUAAAGCGCGUGUAGGCGGGCUGGAAAGUCGGGCGUGAAAUCCCCAGGCUCAACCUGGGAACUGCACUCGAAACUCCCAGUCUAGAGUGGUGGAGAGGGAAGUGGAAUUCCUGGUGUAGAGGUGAAAUUCGUAGAUAUCAGGAGGAACACCAGUGGCGAAGGCGGCUUCCUGGACACCAACUGACGCUGAGACGCGAAAGCGUGGGGAGCAAACAGGAUUAGAAACCCUAGUAGUCC